CACAACUGAAGAAUCUUUUCUUUUGAAAGUAAAAUAUUUUUUCUUAUUGCUUCUUUCACUACCAACCAAAUUGUAGUGAAAUGAUUUGUCUUAAUAAUUUUCUUUUCUUUUCUUAAACUAUUAUCUGUUUAGAAAUUAUAAUAUGAAACUAUUGGUUCGACAUAACGACUAUCUAAAAGUCAUAACAUGAAAAUAAACAAAUAAUAUUAAUUUUUGGUUUUUACUGGAAAAAACCAAAAAAAUCAAAUAUUUUAACCUAAUAAUAGUUAUAUUUUGGAAGAUUAAAAAAAAAAAAAAAACUUAAAACCGAACCAAUAUCCAAACUAAAGAAUUUAAUGUCUUUUUAUUACGUAGCUAUUAUAGUAAAUCACAAACACACAAACAGACACACACAUGUAUGUAUACAUUGUAUAAUUCUGUAAAGAAAACUUUGUGUUCUGUUCUCAUAUAGAACUUUGUAUUAUAUAUAGUUUUUAAAUUUAACUCAAACAACUUCCUUUUUUGUUGUGGGGUUUUUUGGCCUAAUUCAAUGCUUGUUUUCUUUUUG
This 547-nucleotide long non-coding RNA is filed under the name Brassica rapa (field mustard). RNAcentral's name for it is "long non-coding RNA (BRAP_LNC002525)". Lineage: Eukaryota; Viridiplantae; Streptophyta; Magnoliopsida; Brassicales; Brassicaceae. The record is from RNAcentral.